CUAAUGAGACUGCCGGUGACAAACCGGAGGAAGGUGGGGAUGACGUCAAGUCCUCAUGGCCCUUAUGGUAGGGCUUCACACGUCAUACAAUGGUCGGUACAGAGGGUCGCCAACCCGCGAGGGGGAGCCAAUCCCACAAAGCCGAUCGUAGUCCGGAUUGGAGUCUGCAACUCGACUCCAUGAAGUCGGAAUCGCUAGUAAUCGUGGAUCAGCAUGUCACGGUGAAUACGUUCCCGGGUCUU
Molecule: ribosomal RNA, 242 nt
Filed under: uncultured Rhodocyclaceae bacterium
Lineage: Bacteria; Pseudomonadati; Pseudomonadota; Betaproteobacteria; Rhodocyclales; Rhodocyclaceae
Description: partial 16S ribosomal RNA
Rfam family: Bacterial small subunit ribosomal RNA
Source: RNAcentral